Molecule: ribosomal RNA, 876 nt
Filed under: uncultured bacterium
Lineage: Bacteria
Description: bacterial SSU rRNA
Rfam family: Bacterial small subunit ribosomal RNA
Source: RNAcentral
CAUGCAGGCCGAGCGGAUAGGCCGCAACCUUUGGUUGGGGUACUCGAGCGGCGAACGGGUGAGUAACGCGUGAGUAAUCUGCCCUCCACUCUGGGAUAAGCCUUGGAAACGGGGUCUAAUACCGGAUAUGACCUGCCUCCGCAUGGGGGUGGGUGGAAAGUGUUUUAGCGGUGGGGGAUGUGCUCGCGGCCUAUCAUCUUGUUGGUUGGGGUAAUGGCCUACCAAGGCUUUGACGGGUAGCCGGCCUGAGACGGUGACCGGCCACACUGGGACUGAAACACGGCCCAGACUCCUACGGGAGGUACUCCCGUGGAAUAUUGGACAAUGGGCGGAAGCCUGAUCCACCCACGCCUCAUGGGGAAUGAAAGCCUUCCGAUUGUAAACAUCUUUCACUACCGAUUAACCUCUUUGCGACCGUGAGUACACAAGAAGCACCCGUCUUCUACGUGCCUGCUGGCCGCGAUUAUACCUAGUGGUGCUAGCGUUGUCCGGAAUUAUUGGGCGUUAAGGGGUCCUGAGAAGAUCUGUAGCGCCCGAAGUGUUUACAUCUGGAUCAACCGUUUGCUUGCUAUGCAUACGGGCAUAGUUGAGGAUUGCACGCUAGAAUGUAAUUCCUGAUGUGCGCUGAAUGCACACAUAUCAUGAGGAGUCCGCUCUCGAAGCGGUACUCUGGAAUGUUGGAGGUCAUUAGCCACUAUGGGAGUAACCGAUUCAUUCCUGUAGUUACACGUAACAUCGCCCUAGUGUGGGUCUUUCUCGGUUCAUACCCAUCUCAACGUUAUCGCCAGCCAGGGAGACGCCACAGUUAUAUCAAUGAUUUCGGUAACGACCAUCGUUAACCUGUCGAUAGCUGUUAUGAAGUAUUUCACUUGGUAU